RNAcentral lists this long non-coding RNA (1134 nucleotides) under Ananas comosus (pineapple). RNAcentral's name for it is "long non-coding RNA (ACOM_LNC027549)". Lineage: Eukaryota; Viridiplantae; Streptophyta; Magnoliopsida; Poales; Bromeliaceae. The record is from RNAcentral.
UAGGCUAGUAUACUAUCGGUAGCACAGAGGUCUCCGUGCUAUUAAGUUGUUUUCAAUGAUACAGCUUUAAAAUCGACGAUCGGCUCCGUUAGACUUGAUCUACGCUAUUAAAAGUAUUUAGAAACUAAAUUUCAUAAUUUUUCGACAUCAUUUGGCUAAUGAUCAAAAGGUCUCAAAAUUGACAAUUUUAAUAGUAGAUUUGAUGCGUUUGUGAAUUUAACGGUAUAAACCAAUCCAAAUCCGAUAAAUUUUUUUAUAGAAAAUUCUUUUCACUAUUUAGAGUAAUAUCAGUACCUCUGAUCUUAAAUUUAAGUCUUUUAUCAUCAUUUUUUAUAAAAUUUUUAUUUUCAGCCGUUUAUUUUUAAACUACUGGUUUGAUGGGUAAAUGAUGCCGAAAAAUUAUGAAAUUUAGAUUCCAAAUACUUUCAAUAAUGUAGAUCAAGUUUAACGGAGCCAAUCGUCGAUUUGGAAACCGCAGCAUUGAAAACAACUUGGUAGCACAGAGGCCUCCGUGCUACCAAUAGUAUACCAGCCUAGCUCUCUCUCUCUCUCUCUCUCUCUCUCUCUAUAGAGAGAGAGAGAGAGAGAGUUGAGCUAGAAUACUAUUGAUAGCAAACGAGCUCCGUUGCCACCCAUUUGUUUUCGAUGAUAGAGCCUCCAAAUCAACGAUCGGCACCGUUGAACAUGAUUUAUACUACUUGAAGUAUUUAGAAAUCAAAUUUCAAAUCUUUUUGACAUCAUUUCCCUAAUGAUCAAUGAGUUUCAAAAUUUAUAAUUUUAAUGGUCGAUAUGAGGCGUUUUCUCGUUUAACAGCGUAACGAUAUCCAAAUCAAUUAAAUUUUUGUUAAAAAAUUCUUUAAACUAUUUAAAACAAGAUCUACACUCUUGAUCUUGAUUACAAGACUCCUAUCAUCAUUUUUUAAAGAAUAUUCAUUUUCCGCCGUUCAUUUUUGUGUCCACUCGAUGAAUAAGAGAACAAUAUCGAAAAUGUAUGAAAUUUGAUUCUAAACACUUCAAGUGAUAUAGAUCAUAUUCAACGGUGCCGAUCGUUGAUUUGGAGGCUCCAUCAUCGAAAAUAAAUAGGUGGCAACGGAGUCCGUUUGCUAUCGAUAGCAUUCUAGCUCAACUCUAUAU